GCCCAGGUGACGUGGGUGUCCCUGUGGUAUGGCACAGGUGGCCCAGGUGGCCCAAGUGUGCCACAGGUGGCCCCGGUGGCCCCGGGUGACGCGGGUGUCCCCGCAGGUACUGCCUGCUGCAGUCCAUCAAGCACUGCCAGGUGCAGCGCGAGAGCCUGGUGCGCGCCGGGAAGAAGAUCGCCUACCAGGGCCGCGUCAAGGACGAGCCGGCCUACUACUGCAACGAGUGCGACGUGGAGGUGUUCAACAUCCUGUUCGUGACGAGCGAGACGGGCGGGCGCAACACCUACCUGGUGCACUGCGAGGGCUGCGCGCGGCGCCGCGGCGGCGGCCUGGCCGGCGUCGUCGUCCUCGAGCAGUACAAGACCGAGGAGCUGAUGCAGAUCUACGACGGCUUCACCCUGGUGACGCCGCCGACCCCCAGAUGAGCCCGGGACCCCCCCCAGGGGACACCUCGGCGGGGGAGGGGCCAGGAGGGGCCCCCCGCCCCUCCCCCCACGAACACUUUUUAUUUAUUCGCGGAGAAAUCGCCCCAAAAAUCGUCCGGGCGGGCAGGACGCCCCUCCCCCGCCGCGGGGGGGAGGGGGUUUGGGUGGGAAAACUCCGAUUUUAUACAAAAAUCCCGAUUUUUAGGAAUUUCCAAAGCCCCUCCCCCCGCCCGGCCCGGGAUGGGGGGAGGGUCUUUCUGCUCCCCCUCCCCCACCCCCACAUUUUGGGGGGCUGUGAGCUCAGAGGGGGUUGGGGGGAGGGGAGGCUCCGCUCCCGCCCCUCCCCCCUCAUUUUGGGGGUGCUCGUGCCCCUCCCCCAACACAAAGGGGGCACCCGGGGGGGGUCCCCGCCCCCUCCCCUCAGCAUUAAAGGGGGGGAGGGGCUGGGGGGGAGGGGCACUUUUUUUGGGGGGGGGUCGGACCCCUUGCCAAGAUUCAACCAAAAACUCGCCCCGCCCCCAAAAGCGGCCGCCCCUCCCCCCCA
RNAcentral lists this long non-coding RNA (972 nucleotides) under Chloebia gouldiae (Gouldian finch). Its description in RNAcentral is "Erythrura gouldiae (Gouldian finch) lncRNA (ENSEGOG00005018889.1)". The record is from RNAcentral. Lineage: Eukaryota; Metazoa; Chordata; Aves; Passeriformes; Passeridae.